GAAGCGGUGACGCCAGUUGCCGCAGAGUCGCUGUUGGGAUACCACCCUUGCAGUAUUGGAUUUCUAACCAGCAGCCGUGAACCGGCUGGGGGACAAUGUCAGGUGGGGAGUUUGACUGGGGCGGUCGCCUCCGAAAGGGUAUCGGAGGCGCUCAAAGGUUCCCUCAGAAUGGUCGGAAACCAUUCGAAGAGUGCAAAGGCAGAAGGGAGCUUGACUGCGACACCGACGGGUGGAGCAGGUACGAAAGUAGGACUUAGUGAUCCGGUGGUAUAAAGUGGGAUUGCCAUCGCUCAACGGAUAAAAGCUACCCUGGGGAUAACAGGCUUAUCACUCCCAAGAGUUCACAUCGACGGAGUGGUUUGGCACCUCGAUGUCGGCUCAUCGCAUCCUGGGGCUGGAGUAGGUCCCAAGGGUUGGGCUGUUCGCCCAUUAAAGCGGUACGCGAGCUGGGUUCAGAACGUCGUGAGACAGUUCGGUCCCUAUCCGGCGUGGGCGUAGGAUAUUUGAGAGGAGCUGACCUUAGUACGAGAGGACCGGGUUGGACUGGCCGCUGGUGAAUCUGUUGUUCUACCAAGAGCAUGGCAGAGUAGCCAAGCCGGGAAGGGAUAAACGCUGAAGGCAUCUAAGCGUGAAGCCCCCCUCAAGAUGAGAUAUCCCAUAACGUCAAGUUAGUAAGACCCCUUGAAGACGACAAGGUAGAUAGGACAGAGGUGGAAGUGCAGUAAUGUAUG
This 731-nucleotide ribosomal RNA is filed under the name Faecalimonas nexilis. RNAcentral describes it as "partial 23S ribosomal RNA". It matches the Rfam family "Bacterial large subunit ribosomal RNA", at positions 2159 to 2887 of the family's 2925-position model. The record is from RNAcentral. RNAcentral also lists the same sequence under 1 other name. Lineage: Bacteria; Bacillati; Bacillota; Clostridia; Lachnospirales; Lachnospiraceae.